UACGGAGGAUGCAAGCGUUAUCCGGAAUGAUUGGGCGUAAAGGGUCCGCAGGCGGCAAUGUGUGUCUGCUGUCAAAGAAUGAGGCUUAACCUCAUCAAGGCAGUGGAAACUACAUAGCUAGAGUACGGUCGGGGUAGAAGGAAUUCCUGGUGUAGCGGUGAAAUGCGUAGAGAUCAGGAAGAACACCGGUGGCGAAAGCGUUCUGCUAGACCUGUACUGACACUGAGGGACGAAAGCUAGGGGAGCGAAUGGG
This 253-nucleotide ribosomal RNA is filed under the name uncultured bacterium. RNAcentral's name for it is "partial 16S ribosomal RNA". It matches the Rfam family "Bacterial small subunit ribosomal RNA", at positions 524 to 776 of the family's 1533-position model. The record is from RNAcentral.